Molecule: ribosomal RNA, 408 nt
Filed under: uncultured bacterium
Lineage: Bacteria
Description: partial 16S ribosomal RNA
Rfam family: Bacterial small subunit ribosomal RNA
Source: RNAcentral
GACGAACACUGGCGGCGUGCCUAAUACAUGCAAGUCGACCUUAGGGGCGAACGGGUGAGUAACACGUGGGUAACCUGCCCAUCAGAAGGGGAUAACCCUUGGAAACAGGUGCUAAUACCGUAUACUGAUGGAUGGACCCGCGGGGCAUGAGCUAGUUGGUGGGGUAACGGCUCACCAAGGCCACGAUGCAUAGCCGGCCUGAGAGGGUGAUCCGCCACAUUGGGACUGAGACACGGCCCAGACUCCUACGGGAGGCAGCAGUGGGGAAUAUUCGGCAAUGGGCGAAAGUCUGACCGAGCAACGCCGCGUGAGUGAAGAAGGUUUUCGGGUCGUAAAGCUCUGUUGUUAGAGAAGCGGUAUCUAAAGAGAAAGCCACGGCUAACUACGUGCCAGCCGCCGCGGUAAUAC